ACGAACGCUGGCGGCGUGCCUAAUACAUGCAAGUAGAACGCUGGAGGAGGAGCUUGCUUCUCUGGAUGAGUUGCGAACGGGUGAGUAACGCGUAGGUAACCUGCCUGGUAGCGGGGGAUAACUAUUGGAAACGAUAGCUAAUACCGCAUAAUAGUAGAUGUUGCAUGACAUUUGCUUAAAAGGUGCAAUUGCAUCACUACCAGAUGGACCUGCGUUGUAUUAGCUAGUUGGUGAGGUAACGGCUCACCAAGGCGACGAUACAUAGCCGACCUGAGAGGGUGAUCGGCCACACUGGGACUGAGACACGGCCCAGACUCCUACGGGAGGCAGCAGUAGGGAAUCUUCGGCAAUAGACGGAAGUCUGACCGAGCAACGCCGCGUGAGUGAAGAAGGUUUUCGGAUCGUAAAGCUCUGUUGUAAGAGAAGAACGAGUGUGAGAGUGGAAAGUUCACACUGUGACGGUAUCUUACCAGAAAGGGACGGCUAACUACGUG
This 494-nucleotide ribosomal RNA is filed under the name uncultured bacterium. RNAcentral describes it as "partial 16S ribosomal RNA". It matches the Rfam family "Bacterial small subunit ribosomal RNA", at positions 29 to 507 of the family's 1533-position model. The record is from RNAcentral.